CGAGACACAGUAGGGUAGCUCAUGGUGUUAACAUGGCUGCCGCCUGAAACUUCCAUGUGGUAUUUAUUUGAUCACAAAAACUUAAUUGGGUUAUCAUAAAUAUUCGGUAACCUAGUUAAUUCUAUUGUAUCAUUUUAGACCUGGAAUUUAAGUGUUUAGUGACGACCGUCCAAAGAAGCUGCCAGAAUGCAACACGACGACGCUAUAUGGGACCUUAUUGGCAAUGAUAAUUUUUGUUCCUACAAAGUAAAAACGAAAACUCAGCAGUUCUGUC
This is a long non-coding RNA of Sinocyclocheilus rhinocerous, 274 nucleotides long. RefSeq lists it as uncharacterized. NCBI's taxonomy places the organism in Eukaryota, Metazoa, Chordata, Actinopteri, Cypriniformes, Cyprinidae. The record is from RefSeq and is a predicted model, not a curated record. The transcript has 3 exons.